RNAcentral lists this ribosomal RNA (1259 nucleotides) under Leptolyngbya sp. UIC 10142. Its description in RNAcentral is "bacterial SSU rRNA". It matches the Rfam family "Bacterial small subunit ribosomal RNA", at positions 157 to 1445 of the family's 1533-position model. The record is from RNAcentral. Lineage: Bacteria; Bacillati; Cyanobacteriota; Cyanophyceae; Leptolyngbyales; Leptolyngbyaceae.
CGACUGCUAAUACCCGAUAUGCCGAGUAGGUGAAAUGUUAUUUCGCCUGAAGAUGAGCUCGCGUCUGAUUAGCUAGUUGGUGGUGUAAUGGACUCACCAAGGCGACGAUCAGUAGCUGGUCUGAGAGGAUGAGCAGCCACACUGGGACUGAGACACGGCCCAGACUCCUACGGGAGGCAGCAGUGGGGAAUUUUCCGCAAUGGGCGAAAGCCUGACGGAGCAAUACCGCGUGAGGGAGGAAGGUUCUUGGAUUGUAAACCUCUUUUCUCAGGGAAGAAAAAAAUGACGGUACCUGAGGAAUAAGCAUCGGCUAACUCCGUGCCAGCAGCCGCGGUAAUACGGGGGAUGCAAGCGUUAUCCGGAAUUAUUGGGCGUAAAGAGUCCGUAGGUGGUUCAGCAAGUCUAUUGUCAAAGGUCGGAGCUUAACUCCGGAAAGGCAGUGGAAACUGUUGAACUAGAGUAUGGUAGGGGUAGAGGGAAUUCCCAGUGUAGCGGUGAAAUGCGUAGAUAUUGGGAAGAACACCGGUGGCGAAAGCGCUCUACUGGACCAUAACUGACACUGAGGGACGAAAGCCAAGGUAGCGAAAGGGAUUAGAUACCCCUGUAGUCUUGGCCGUAAACGAUGGAUACUAGGCGUUGUCUGUAUCGACCCGGACAGUGCCGAAGCUAACGCGUUAAGUAUCCCGCCUGGGGAGUACGCACGCAAGUGUGAAACUCAAAGGAAUUGACGGGGGCCCGCACAAGCGGUGGAGUAUGUGGUUUAAUUCGAUGCAACGCGAAGAACCUUACCAAGAUUUGACAUCCCAUGAAUCCUGCAGAGAUGCGGGAGUGCCUUCGGGAACAUGGAGACAGGUGGUGCAUGGCUGUCGUCAGCUCGUGUCGUGAGAUGUUGGGUUAAGUCCCGCAACGAGCGCAACCCUCGUUUUUAGUUGCCAUCAUUAAGUUGGGCACUCUAGAAAGACUGCCGGGGACAACUCGGAGGAAGGUGGGGAUGACGUCAAGUCAUCAUGCCCCUUACAUUUUGGGCUACACACGUACUACAAUGGUCGGGACAAAGGGCAGCAACCCCGCGAGGGCAAGCGAAUCUCAUCAAACCCGGCCUCAGUUCAGAUUGCAGGCUGCAACUCGCCUGCAUGAAGGAGGAAUCGCUAGUAAUCGCAGGUCAGCAUACUGCGGUGAAUCCGUUCCCGGGCCUUGUACACACCGCCCGUCACACCAUGGAAGCUGGCCACGCCCGAAGUCGUUACUCUAACCGUUCG